GGGGCGUUAGCUCAGUUGGUCAGAGCAGGGGACUCAUAAUCCCUGGGUCAUCGGUUCAAGUCCGAUACGCCCUA
This 74-nucleotide transfer RNA is filed under the name Micrococcus sp. Its description in RNAcentral is "tRNA-Ile". It matches the Rfam family "tRNA". From Rfam's summary of the family: Transfer RNA (tRNA) molecules are approximately 80 nucleotides in length. Their secondary structure includes four short double-helical elements and three loops (D, anti-codon, and T loops). The record is from RNAcentral. Lineage: Bacteria; Bacillati; Actinomycetota; Actinomycetes; Micrococcales; Micrococcaceae.